UAGGGAAUCUUCGGCAAUGGGGGGAACCCUGACCGAGCAACGCCGCGUGAGUGAAGAAGGUUUUCGGAUCGUAAAGCUCUGUUGUUAAGGAAGAACGUGUGUGAGAGUGGAAAGUUCACACAGUGACGGUACUUAACCAGAAAGGGACGGCUAACUACGUGCCAGCAGCCGCGGUAAUACGUAGGUCCCGAGCGUUGUCCGGAUUUAUUGGGCGUAAAGCGAGCGCAGGCGGUUAGAUAAGUCUGAAGUGAAAGGCAGUGGCUCAACCAUUGUAGGCUUUGGAAACUGUUUAACUUGAGUGCAGAAGGGGAGAGUGGAAUUCCAUGUGUAGCGGUGAAAUGCGUAGAUAUAUGGAGGAACACCGGUGGCGAAAGCGGCUCUCUGGUCUGUAACUGACGCUGAGGCUCGAAAGCGUGGGGAGCGAACAGGAUUAGAUACCCUGGUAGUCCACGCCGUAAACGAUGAGUGCUAGGUGUUAGGUCCUUUCCGGGACUUAGUGCCGCAGCUAACGCAUUAAGCACUCCGCCUGGGGAGUACGGCCGCAAGGUUG
This 550-nucleotide ribosomal RNA is filed under the name uncultured bacterium. Its description in RNAcentral is "bacterial SSU rRNA". It matches the Rfam family "Bacterial small subunit ribosomal RNA", at positions 355 to 896 of the family's 1533-position model. The record is from RNAcentral.